This 482-nucleotide ribosomal RNA is filed under the name uncultured bacterium. RNAcentral describes it as "partial 16S ribosomal RNA". It matches the Rfam family "Bacterial small subunit ribosomal RNA", at positions 29 to 507 of the family's 1533-position model. The record is from RNAcentral.
AUUGAACGCUGGCGGCAUGCUUUACACAUGCAAGUCGAACGGUAACAGGCCGCAAGGUGCUGACGAGCGGCGAACGGGCGAGUAAUGCAGCGGAACGUGCCCAGUCGUGGGGGAUAAGUACACGAAAGAGUAGCUAAUACCGCAAACGAUCUAUGGUUGAGAGGGGGGGAGCGGAAGGCCUCGCGCGAGUGGUACGGCCGAUGGCGGAUUAGGUAGUUGGUGGGGUAAAGGCUCACCAAGGCAACGAUCUGUAGCUGGUCUGAGAGGACGACCAGCCACACUGGGACUGAGACACGGCCCAGACUCCUACGGGAGGCAGCAGUGGGGAAUUUUGGACAAUGGGGGCAAGCCUGAUCCAGCAAUGCCGCGUGUAGGAAGAAGGCCUUCGGGUUGUAAACUGCUUUUGUACGGGAAGAAACGGCUCUGGUUAAUACCCGGGGCUACUGACGGUACCGUAAGAAUAAGCACCGGCUAACUACGUG